Puma concolor (puma) is the source of this 73-nucleotide non-coding RNA. The record is from the annotation of a RefSeq genome assembly. Lineage: Eukaryota; Metazoa; Chordata; Mammalia; Carnivora; Felidae.
GUCUGGCUAGCUCAUUCGGUAAAGUAUGAGACUCUUAAUCUUGGGGUCGUGAGUUCAAGCCUCACGUUAGACA